UGGAUUAUACUCUGUCCACUGUUCACACAAUAUUAAUAUGCUCAUAUGGUACCUAAUCGUUCCUUGUAAAUUAAUGAGAAUGAUGAUCAUUAUUCCAAUGAAAUGUGCAUAUUUUAAUAAUUUUUACCGCUCGUUAGAAUUAAUGAUCUUUGAAUCAUGUUAAAACAGAUAGAACGGAAAUAGAGUGAAUAUAAGUAUUAUUAAAUUUAAUUUCAUCCAAUUAAUAUACUAUUUAAUAUACAUAGGGUAACAAUGGUAACAUACAUACUAGGUUUUCGCAUUUAUUGAAUUUUAUAUUAUAGAGAUCCGUUUAUUAAAGUUAUAGGGAAUGUGUUAUAAUCAUAGACGUAAUAUUAAAUUAGCUACGUCCAUGAUUUUAACGUAAUUUAUUCAAGACCGAAAAAAUUAAACAGAUUCAGUAUCAAACCUAGGCGAAAUAAUUUAUAAUCUGUUGUCAUCUGUCAAUCAAUCCUCGUUAUUUGACAUAAUUGACAGAUGACACAUUAUUUUGACAACCGGUUUUUGAACGAGUGUAAAAUAGAAUAAAAAGAGCUAAAAAAUAUC
Long non-coding RNA from Colias croceus (clouded yellow), 564 nucleotides. RefSeq lists it as uncharacterized. The transcript has 2 exons. The record is from RefSeq and is a predicted model, not a curated record. Lineage: Eukaryota; Metazoa; Arthropoda; Insecta; Lepidoptera; Pieridae.